Molecule: long non-coding RNA, 1373 nt
Organism: Myotis daubentonii (Daubenton's bat)
Lineage: Eukaryota; Metazoa; Chordata; Mammalia; Chiroptera; Vespertilionidae
Source: RefSeq, a predicted model, not a curated record
GCCGCGGCGACCCCUAGUGGCCGCGGGUUCGGGCGCCGCGCUCAAGGGCUCCCACGUAGGCUGUGCCACACGGUCAGAGGUUAGACAUCGGGAAGAACUUCCCAGCGUUGCACUUCUCGUGUAUUUAACAAAAACGGAGAGACCCUCUUGGACCACGUAGUGAACGAGCGACUAAGGCUCCCGAGCGCGGAGACCUUGGCCUGGUGACCCGUUGCUGCAGACAGUCUACCAGGAGGGAUGUGGGAGCUGCAGUCUGGCUGGGAACGGGGCAGGUGCAGGUCUGAAAGCUGCUUGGCGGCCGGUAUAGGUGACAGACAUGGGCCGCCUGGUGUAAAUCCGGACCCUGCACCCUUGCCAGCUGUGUGACCAGUGUGCACUUCAUUAACUUAUGUGCUUCAUUUCUAAAAUGGGGUUGAUAAAAGUUUCUACUGCAUAGGGUUGUAAGGAUAAAAUGAAUUAAUCCAUGCGAUGUUUUGUUGCACAGGCCCUGGACCCGAACAAGUGCACACUAUUAAGUUGUUAUAGAAUUUUAAAAGAAUUUAUUUUUUAGGUUGUAUAUUGCAAAGGAAUAUAAAUUCUAGGUCAUUAAAGGGAUGUAGUUUUGGGGGGAGUCUCGCUUUGGGGAGCAGUCAUCAUAUUUUGAGGAAAUCCAAACUAACCAAACAGAGAGAUGACACAGGAACUGAGGCCUCCAGCCAACUCCCAGCAUCAGCCACUAGACAUGUGAGCGAACUGGUUUCCAGAUACUACUUUAUUUUUACAAAUUGAAGGCAAGACCCUCCACCAGCAACGAUUACAGAUUGCUUCAUUGCGAUGUCUGCAACUGAACCCACAAUACCUGUAAGGACCGGGAAUUGAACUGGCAACCUUUCGGUGCACAGGGCGACACUCAACCAACUGAGCCACUCUGGCCAGGCUAAAUCUGUAUACUUUUAUUAAGACAAAAACUAGCAGUGUGGUAUAAAGUUUACAUUUAAGGUUUUCACAGAAACCUAUCACAUGCCUGAAAAGAUUUCACAAUGGAGCGCUAGUUGCUGGUCUAGAUGAUGUCAAGAACUGAUGGAUCUCAUGAUUCAGGACAGAAUUAUAGGUAUUAGUUAAUCUUUAAGGAUUAAAAAAAUAAUUUUUGUUUUGCUUUGUGUUUUAAAGUUAACUACUGAUCAACUAUGAAAGUUUAAUCUUCUCCUGAGACAAGGGCUUUCGAAAUCAUCCAACUCACGAAGUGAUUCGAUGAACUUGAGAGAAAGAGUGACUGAACCCUGCCAGGGAUGGUUUCAGAGUUCACAGUUCAAAAAGACAACAACAAAACAAAAACAAACAAACAGAGAGGCUCAGAGUCCACCCUAACAUCAAGGGCCUUCCUGUGUACUCUC